Molecule: ribosomal RNA, 254 nt
Filed under: uncultured bacterium
Lineage: Bacteria
Description: partial 16S ribosomal RNA
Rfam family: Bacterial small subunit ribosomal RNA
Source: RNAcentral
CACGUAGGCACCAAGCGUUGUCCGGAUUUAUUGGGCGUAAAGAGCUCGUAGGCGGUUCAGUAAGUCGGGUGUGAAAACUCUGGGCUCAACCCAGAGACGCCACCCGAUACUGCUGUGACUUGAGUACGGUAGGGGAGUGGGGAAUUCCUGGUGUAGCGGUGAAAUGCGCAGAUAUCAGGAGGAACACCAGUGGCGAAGGCGCCACUCUGGGCCGUAACUGACGCUGAGGCGCGAAAGCUAGAGGAGCGAACGGG